GAUGAACGCUGGCGGCGUGCCUAAUACAUGCAAGUCGAGCGAACAGACGAGGAGCUUGCUCCUCUGACGUUAGCGGCGGACGGGUGAGUAACACGUGGAUAACCUACCUAUAAGACUGGGAUAACUUCGGGAAACCGGAGCUAAUACCGGAUAAUAUAUUGAACCGCAUGGUUCAAUAGUGAAAGACGGUUUUGCUGUCACUUAUAGAUGGAUCCGCGCCGCAUUAGCUAGUUGGUAAGGUAACGGCUUACCAAGGCAACGAUGCGUAGCCGACCUGAGAGGGUGAUCGGCCACACGGGAACUGAGACACGGUCCAGACUCCUACGGGAGGCAGCAGUAGGGAAUCUUCCGCAAUGGGCGAAAGCCUGACGGAGCAACGCCGCGGGAGUGAUGAAGGUCUUCGGAUCGUAAAACUCUGUUAUUAGGGAAGAACAAAUGGGUAAGUAACUAUGCACGUCUUGACGGUACCUAAUCAGAAAGCCACGGCUAACUACGU
This 496-nucleotide ribosomal RNA is filed under the name uncultured bacterium. RNAcentral describes it as "partial 16S ribosomal RNA". It matches the Rfam family "Bacterial small subunit ribosomal RNA", at positions 28 to 506 of the family's 1533-position model. The record is from RNAcentral.